UACGUAGGGUGCGAGCGUUAAUCGGAAUUACUGGGCGUAAAGCGUGCGCAGGCGGUUUGUUAAGACAGGUGUGAAAUCCCCGGGCUUAACCUGGGAAUGGCGCUUGUUACUGGCAGGCUAGAGUGUGUCAGAGGGAGGUAGAAUUCCACGUGUAGCAGUGAAAUGCGUAGAGAUGUGGAGGAAUACCGAUGGCGAAGGCAGCCUCCUGGGAUAACACUGACGCUCAUGCACGAAAGCGCGGGGAGCAAACAGG
RNAcentral lists this ribosomal RNA (253 nucleotides) under uncultured bacterium. RNAcentral's name for it is "partial 16S ribosomal RNA". It matches the Rfam family "Bacterial small subunit ribosomal RNA", at positions 524 to 776 of the family's 1533-position model. The record is from RNAcentral.